RNAcentral lists this ribosomal RNA (460 nucleotides) under uncultured bacterium. Its description in RNAcentral is "partial 16S ribosomal RNA". It matches the Rfam family "Bacterial small subunit ribosomal RNA", at positions 338 to 795 of the family's 1533-position model. The record is from RNAcentral.
CCUACGGGUGGCAGCAGUGAGGAAUAUUGGUCAAUGGACGAGAGUCUGAACCAGCCAAGUAGCGUGAAGGAUGACUGCCCUAUGGGUUGUAAACUUCUUUUAUAUGGGAAUAAAAUGUUCCACGUGUGGGAUUUUGUAUGUACCAUAUGAAUAAGGAUCGGCUAACUCCGUGCCAGCAGCCGCUGUAAUACGGAGGAUCCGAGCGUUAUCCGGAUUUAUUGGGUUUAAAGGGAGCGUAGGUGGAUUGUUAAGUCAGUUGUGAAAGUUUGCGGCUCAACCGUAAAAUUGCAGUUGAAACUGGCAGUCUUGAGUACAGUAGAGGUAGGCGGAAUGCGUGGUGUAGCGGUGAAAUGCUUAGAUAUCACGAAGAACUCCGAUUGCGAAGGCAGUUCACUGGACUGCAACUGACACUGAGGCUCGAAAGUGUGGGUAUCAAACAGGAUUAGAUACCCUUGUAGUC